This 322-nucleotide ribosomal RNA is filed under the name uncultured eukaryote. RNAcentral describes it as "partial 18S ribosomal RNA". It matches the Rfam family "Eukaryotic small subunit ribosomal RNA", at positions 1470 to 1796 of the family's 1831-position model. The record is from RNAcentral.
CCCUUAGAUGUUCUGGGCCGCACGCGCGCUACACUGAUGCAUUCAACGAGCCUAUCCUUGACCGACAGGUCCGGGUAAUCUUUGAAUCUGCAUCGUGACGGGGAUAGAUUAUUGCAAUUAUUAAUCUUCAACGAGGAAUGCCUAGUAGGCGCAAGUCAUCAGCUUGCGUCGAUUACGUCCCUGCCCUUUGUACACACCGCCCGUCGCACCUACCGAUUGAGUGUUCCGGUGAAGCCUCGGGAUUGUAGCUGUUUCCUUUAUUGGGUACAGCCGUGAGAACUUGUCUGAACCUUAACACUUAGAGGAAGGUGAAGUCGUAACA